Molecule: ribosomal RNA, 490 nt
Filed under: uncultured bacterium
Lineage: Bacteria
Description: partial 16S ribosomal RNA
Rfam family: Bacterial small subunit ribosomal RNA
Source: RNAcentral
GAUGAACGCUGGCUACAGGCUUAACACAUGCAAGUCGAGGGGAAACGACGGGGAAGCUUGCUUCCCCGGGCGUCGACCGGCGCACGGGUGAGUAACGCGUAUCCAACCUGCCUCUGACUGAGGGAUAACCCGUCGAAAGUCGGCCUAAUACCUCAUGGCAUCGUCUGCGGGCAUCCAACGACGAUUAAAGAUUUCAUCGGUCAGGGAUGGGGAUGCGUCUGAUUAGCUUGUUGGCGGGGUAACGGCCCACCAAGGCUACGAUCAGUAGGGGUUCUGAGAGGAAGGUCCCCCACAUUGGAACUGAGACACGGUCCAAACUCCUACGGGAGGCAGCAGUGAGGAGUAUAGGUCAAUGGGCGUGAGCCUGAACCAGCCAGGUAGCGUGCAGGAUGCCGGCCCUGUGGGUUGUAAACUGCUUUUAUGCGGGGUAAAGUGAGGGACGUGUCCUUCAUUGCAGGUACCGCAUGAAUAAGGACCGGCUAAUUCCGUG